AGUGCGACAGACAGCCUCAGAGCUGGUGGGGAGACAGCGUGCCGCUGGAAAAAUUCAUAGACAUGGAAUUCCUGGAUCAAAUGGAGGAGAUGGAAGAUUGAGACAGAGAGGAGUGGGAGAAUGGGAAGAGGGCUUCGCGCCCAGUGCACAUUUGCCACCUAGUGACUAAACUGAAUGGUGUGCUUCUCACCUCAGCCUGGUAGCCUGACCUUGACUCCUGAGUUCUACGAUCGCUUCACAACUGCAAGUCAUUCUCAUACAAAAUUUAAGUUUUCCUAAGUCUGCGCCUUUGAGAGCUUUGGAAUGAUAUGCAAGUUCAAGUCACCAUCCUCUUUCUUGCUACCUCCUGUGAGAAGACCAGCAUUUGGGUUACUUGUUUCUACCCUUGUUCUUCUGCUUGAUAUUGUUGCUUCUGCAGCCAUUGAUCACACACGUGUUGUCAUACAAAAACUGGGUAGCCUUUUUAUUUGUCUUGUGAAUUUUAUCAUUUGGUUCUUAUGUAUUACAAAUUAAUAUUGUGUACUCUCAGUGAUAUAUGACUUUCAGUCAUUGUAAAUUUGCAUGAGUUAGGGUGAGAAUGGCAUGCAAGCAAAAGAACAAGAAGAGGGAUGAUAGAGAUGCAAGAAGAGUAAAGAGGGCAAGAAAGGUUAUGUUAAUAGCGAACACAAUGAAAGUUCUUUAAAUGCUUGAUAAUGGUGAAAGCAACACUUCCUAGGUCAUAUUUUUGGUGUUAAUGAACCUACACAUCAUACAAUAAGGAAAAAUGAGAAA
Molecule: long non-coding RNA, 771 nt
Organism: Rhinopithecus roxellana (golden snub-nosed monkey)
Lineage: Eukaryota; Metazoa; Chordata; Mammalia; Primates; Cercopithecidae
Exons: 4
Source: RefSeq, a predicted model, not a curated record